UAGUUUUUGUAGAUAUUUUAAUGUGGUGUGCCUUCUCUUUUUUUUCUCCCUUUUGAAGACAUUAAAUAGCCCGAUAGUGCAUGUCGCUGCACACCCAGUCCGGUUGUAUAACGAGGCUUCACCUCAGCUGAACUUGACGCAUCUGGUUCAUCGGCGGCGAAGGACGCGCGACGCAGCCUGCAGCCUGCAGCCUGUGCCCCCACUGAACCGAGCUGGACGGCUGCGGAGAGAGAGAGAGGGGAACAACUCUUUCGUGCCCCGGUAACAGCUCACGGAGACUGUCUCCUAGCACAUCCAACAUGACGAUUUUUUUUCUACUUCUCAGCCUACAAAUAUGCUAUGGCUUUGUGCUUUUUUUAUUUCCGUUUUUUUUUGGUUCCCAGAGACGAUCGAGCCACCGUAUAGAAGAUAUAAAGACCGCUGACUUGGAGUUGGACACCCCGGAGGAAGAUAUACCAUCCAACUUGAACUCGAGACCAUGGGGCAAGUGAGGACACAAGUAGACAUGGAUCCACAAGACCUCAAAUACUGCAAUGCAGAGAGGAUAUGUGUACAUAUUGUGUGCAGCCACAGAGGGAUCCAGCAAAAUGAAUGGCGGAGAUUUCGGAGCUUUACCCCGGAUAGAUGAUGACUGGUGUUUGUGCCAGUUGCCUGCAAAGUCUCAGUGGGCCGGGGAAACCUGAGAGGAGGCGAGCCGACAAACCGCGCAGACCUGAAGCUGCAGAGAGGAGGUGACCUGUCAAGCAUAAGUGACAUUCAGGAAGUAUUCAGAAAGCAUUCUUUGAUUCAGAAAAAUGAAGGCACAAAUAAAUUAUGUCAGGUUAAGACACACGGUUAGUUGCACAUAGAAAGCAAUAAUACUA
Long non-coding RNA from Etheostoma spectabile (orangethroat darter), 863 nucleotides. RefSeq lists it as uncharacterized. The transcript has 4 exons. Lineage: Eukaryota; Metazoa; Chordata; Actinopteri; Perciformes; Percidae. The record is from RefSeq and is a predicted model, not a curated record.